AAUACCCUUUAAAGGGUAAAAAAGUACCCGUUUUAAUAAAGCAUGAUGCUCUGUCAAAAAACGGGUAAAUUGAAAAAUGUAAAAUGGGUAAAUAAAUACCCAUUUCAGUAAAGCAAUGGAAGUUUAAAAAUGGGUAUUUUAAAACCCAUUUAUGGGUGAAAAUAUAGUUGGCAAUCAUUUUGUAAUCAUCGAGUGCAGCUGUGCGCAGUUCUCAAGUCUUAACAUUAAUUGAACAUAUUUCUAUAGGUUUAACGCCUUUUUUGUUCAAUUUAUAACCCGAUGGAAAAGUACAAAGAACCGGGUGUCUUGUUCCUGCCACAGACAUCUUUAGUGCCAACGACAGUCAUAAUAGAGAAGCGAUUUGUUGUAGAAAAUAUAUAAAAAUGAACACAAUGUAUCUUUAUAGUGAAUAUAAGUCAAUAAAACAAUAAAUGCCUGACUAUGUA
This 446-nucleotide long non-coding RNA is filed under the name Aedes aegypti (yellow fever mosquito). Its description in RNAcentral is "lncRNA AAEL027246". The record is from RNAcentral. Lineage: Eukaryota; Metazoa; Arthropoda; Insecta; Diptera; Culicidae.